This 2135-nucleotide non-coding RNA is filed under the name synthetic construct. The record is from RNAcentral.
CGUGUCAGAAAAUUACACUAUGACAGAAACAACUACCAUCUCUGGACAAACAUCAUCUGGAUUUUCAUUUCAUGUGCCUAUCAUGGUCAUAGUGUUGAUUUUGCUGAUUAUUGGACUGUUGCUGUAUGGAGCAUAUAAGUGCUUUUUCUGGGUUAUGUACAAGCGGGCACAGAUAAUGGGGUUGCCAGCCCAAGCACUCUUGUCACGUGUAAAGGUGUAAAAAUCAUUGUACAAACUUGACUAAAUAAAGAUUAUUUUAUUGAAAAAGAGAUGUAUGAUAUCUUGUUUGUUGUCAUCACGUAACAGGUCAUAACACACGCAAUUAGAACAUCAUCAGACAUUGUAUGUGUUUUGGAUUGGAAGGUUAUGGUUUUGUUCUUGUGGUAUAUACAUUUGGUAUUUUUUAUCUGUUCAAUCAGAUAGGAGAUUGGGUCACUAGACAGCAGGACAGUGUUAGAUACCACGGUUUGGCUGGCACAGAGCAAUCCCUGGUUCAAUGAAGAGAUAAAGUUUUGGAAGGCCAGUGUCUUGUCUCCACUCAACAUAUAAAUAGGCCAUUGCAUUCCAGUCUUGUCUCUGUAGGAGGCAAACAGGGUUGGUAGUUUAAUGUUGUGGGAAAUAAAAGUUGCUAUGGCUACAGCUGAGUCUUGAUUGCUAUUUCCCUCUAUUAUACACCUGAUUUCUUGAAUCCAGGGGUGUUGAAACAAUAUUCCCUCCAACAGAGCAGUGGCACAUGAGGCUAUGUUGUGAGCAGCAGUUCCAGUGAGGUUGUUCAGGAAGAAAUGUUCCAACCCUAAGAUAAUACACUUUUUAGUGUGUUUACAGUGACUCAUGGCAACUAUACCAGUUCCAGAGGCGUGGACGUUGUUUCCAUAGGCGGGGUCAAUAUACACAAAAAGUGUAUUUUCUGUAGUUGGGGCCCCCUGGCCCGCAGUGUCACACCUAUAAAAGUCUAGCCGGGUCAGACUGGACUCGUGUAUCAUACUGUUCCCAGAGACUUCCGUGUGUGAUUGCAUAUUGCCCAUUAAUUCUGUGGCAAAUGAUCCCUCUAGCAGUAAAUUGGUGGUACACUUUAUAUUAUCAUUGAUGGUGAUAAAUUCUGGAACAUACAGGCGAUAGCAAGGGCAGGCAGUGAUUGCGCUCUGUUUGUUGAAGUCUUCCAUAUGUUCGCUACAGACAUAGCUGACAACGUUCACCAUCUUCUCAUUGGCAUCUUUGAGGUUAUACAAAAAACUUGUUGUCUUCUCUCCUGAAUUUACAGAGGAGAUAAAAAAGAUCUUGGCAUCCUUCUGUAACAUAAACCCCAAGAUUGCUGGAAGUGCUUCCUUCUUUAUGAAAUUUGCUUCAUCAACAAACAGUAGAUUAAAUGUCUGCCCCCGGAUGCUCUGUGAAUAAAUCAAAGAAUCUGGUUACUGAUCAGGAUCUCCUGGAUGUGGUGAAUUUUUUUAACAGACCAUUACAUGCUCUCAUUGCUGAGGUGUCAAAAACCACUUCUGAUUUGGAACUUGUCAGGUCAACCACCCAAGGUAUUGAAAAUAUCUGUCUCCUGCUAGACUUGGUAGGAACAGAAUGUAUAAAAGAUGCAAGCGCGGCCAAGACAAGUGUAUGAUGCGGCCUCUUUCUAACCCUUUAACAGAGGCCUAUAACGUGCAAAAUUUGUACCAGUGUCUAAAUUGUGAUGAUUAUCACUUGUGUAAUGGUUCUCUCAACUGUGAUCCUCUGGUGGAUCGAGAGGGAAUUGUGUGCACAGUCACUGGAAAGUAUAUCCAGUGUAAUGUCAGGGAAUCACCCAUGUGUGGGGCAGCGUGUCUGGACGUGGACAUUCACCCAGAGGACAAUACAGACUGCAUUCUGCGGGCACUGUUUGGUGACAUUGUAGAUAUUAUUAAUAAAUUGGAUGAUAUUGCUGAAAUUAAAGAUAAGAUCCUCGCUGGAGACUCCCUAAAUGAGCACAUCAAGAAGAAAAUUGAGUGUACCUUUCCAAUGUGCGCCAACAUCAUUAAUUGUAAUAGCCAAGGCUAUUCCAUACUUUGUAGCAUGUUUGUCCAUAUUAUUAUGUCAAUCUAUGCCAACAAAACCAUAUAUGGCCACAUGCUAUUUAAAUGCACCAGAAAUAAAAAGUAUGACACCAUUGC